AACUCCGGAGAGGAUAGCAUUGAGAUGCCCUCCCGAGAAUGUUACAGUCAAGCUAAUCUACCCGCACAUGUGGUGUUGAGACACAACGAACAAUGAGCUUC
Cucurbita moschata (crookneck pumpkin) is the source of this 101-nucleotide long non-coding RNA. RefSeq lists it as uncharacterized. Lineage: Eukaryota; Viridiplantae; Streptophyta; Magnoliopsida; Cucurbitales; Cucurbitaceae. The transcript is spliced from 3 exons. The record is from RefSeq and is a predicted model, not a curated record.